GCCACAGUAGCUCAACCUGGGAGAGCAAUCGGCUGAAGAACCCAACAAAAGUGGUUCAGUCACCGAUUUGUUGCUGGUUCAAAUCCGGCCUGUGGCAC
Molecule: transfer RNA, 98 nt
Filed under: uncultured archaeon
Lineage: Archaea
Description: tRNA-Phe(gaa)
Rfam family: tRNA
About the family: Transfer RNA (tRNA) molecules are approximately 80 nucleotides in length. Their secondary structure includes four short double-helical elements and three loops (D, anti-codon, and T loops). Further hydrogen bonds mediate the characteristic L-shaped molecular structure. tRNAs have two regions of fundamental functional importance: the anti-codon, which is responsible for specific mRNA codon recognition, and the 3' end, to which the tRNAs corresponding amino acid is attached (by aminoacyl-tRNA synthetases). tRNAs cope with the degeneracy of the genetic code in two manners: having more than one tRNA (with a specific anti-codon) for a particular amino acid; and 'wobble' base-pairing, i.e. permitting non-standard base-pairing at the 3rd anti-codon position.
Source: RNAcentral